Long non-coding RNA from Columba livia (rock pigeon), 927 nucleotides. RefSeq lists it as uncharacterized. The record is from RefSeq and is a predicted model, not a curated record. The transcript is spliced from 2 exons. NCBI's taxonomy places the organism in Eukaryota, Metazoa, Chordata, Aves, Columbiformes, Columbidae.
CCUCCUCCCGUGCACCCAUUGACGAUGGAGGCUGCACAGGAUAGUGUUCCUUUUUGUUUUGCUCUGUCAGUACAUACUGUGCUCACAAGACAGUGCAAACUGAAUCCAGCAUGCCGUAAAUGCACUGUCUGUGGCAGUCUGCACUCUGUGCCGUACUUCUGUCAUAGAGCUUUGAAAGAAACGCUUGUGCAAAAGCCAAAACAGUAGCGUUGUUGCUGAUGCUGUUGGUGCUGGAGUUGCAUAGGUGGCAGAGAGGAUGCCUGGGAAGGAGGCGUAGUGGCGAACCCUUGGUUUAACACUGCUUGUCCCAUCAGCACGAUCGGAGAGCCGCUGCUGGAAGUCUGCACUUCCAAACUUUGAAACAUUUGUUGUGUUUGAGAAUACCUGUGGAAGAAAGAAGAAAUCAUGAACAAACUGUUGGAAGCAAACGUCUUGUCUUAGGAAACGGGGGGAAGUCCCUAGUCUUCAUAAAUAAUUCCUAAUAAAGAUUUCUAGUGCAUGGGACCUAAUAUGAGCAAUGGCACCGUUGGCAUCAUUGUUUCCCCUUUGUGCACGAGUUGGAUUUGGAGGGCAGCGCACAUCACACCUCAAAACCAGACCACAUUUUAGAUUCAUUAAAGAUUCUGGUUUAUGUAUGUCUUCGGCUGCAGCAUUCACAUCCCAGGCUCAAAACAAAUGGUCUUUGAUUCUCUAUUAAUAUGCUGAGCUCUGAACUGCAGCAGCAACAGAUUAAAUGCACCUCCCAUUCUGCUGCCUGUGGUCCCCUGCGACUGCCUGUGGGGGUGGUAAUUUGCAGAAGGAUGGCCAGGGGUGAUUACUUCCUAAGCUGCUCAUGUUCAUGUUGCCAAGUAUGGUCAGCAGUUCCCAUCGCUGUGAGCCACAUGGUAGGAACAGAAGAAACCUCCAGAAGUCCUCUGGAAUGAGAGA